UUCUACGGAUCGACAAUGGAUUUCAAGGAUUUGGGUUUUUGCAGUGGAAAUUUUGGUUGCUAUUUGGGUUGGGUGUUAGCAGUGGUGGUUUAGGGUGCGGGAUGGUGAAGAUUCAGUGGGGGUGAAUCGGGGGUUUGGUUUGGUAUUAGUGGUUAUGGAUUUUUUGGAGUGGAAAUUUUGAUUGCUCAUAAUCUCUUUGCGUGAAAAUGGUGGAGAUGGCCGAUGGGAAAACGGCGGCGAUUGUCAAAUGGUCUUUCGGGACUGCCUUAAGACAAGACAACCCGGUUGGAAUUUGGGGUUGCGAUGAGCACCAUCUUCACCUUUGCAAUAGAAU
This 334-nucleotide long non-coding RNA is filed under the name Gossypium raimondii (Peruvian cotton). Its description in RNAcentral is "long non-coding RNA (GRAI_LNC005116)". Lineage: Eukaryota; Viridiplantae; Streptophyta; Magnoliopsida; Malvales; Malvaceae. The record is from RNAcentral.